RNA transcript from Ricinus communis (castor bean), 1936 nucleotides. RefSeq lists it as uncharacterized. The transcript is spliced from 3 exons. NCBI's taxonomy places the organism in Eukaryota, Viridiplantae, Streptophyta, Magnoliopsida, Malpighiales, Euphorbiaceae. The record is from RefSeq and is a predicted model, not a curated record.
AGGUCGGUACUAGACACGUUUUUCUUGGGGGUCCAGCUUUUGUAAAGCGCGGGGAUUUGUCUUCCAAAACAAAACACAUAGUUGGAGGGUCUUCUUUCUUUCGCUUUGGAUCAACACUAGAGCUAGAGCAUUCGUCACAUGAACAAGGUUUUGGCAUAACACGGUGGACCAAGAUAUGGAGUAAGUGGUCAGUUUUGCCAAUAAUGGAUCAGAAGAAGAUGUUUCAGGCUCUUCAAGACGUAUAAAUAGCCAAAGAAAGGAUCAUGUGCAGUGAUUAUGUGGCUGCCAGAAAAAUUUUACUAAAAAUUCAGUGCUAUCUUCCGCCCUUUGACGACAUUGCUGGGAUGAUCGCUGUCUGUGAUAUCUUACACUCGGCGGGCUAUGGAUUCUUGGGCUGUGACACUGACUACUACUGGAUUCUUGAGGUUUCACCGUCGGCCACUGAGUUUGCUAUCAAAAUCCAAAAUAACAAGUUGGUCACACUUCUAGACCCAAUUAAGGACAACUUCCCUUGUGCUGCAUCAGCUCUGAAAAUCACCCAUGAUGCAUUUUCUGUGCUUGCUAAUCCAAAGAAACGCUCUAUGUUUGAUAUGAAGCGGGCUAUUAGGUUGCAAUCUUAUGGUUCUGAAAACCUGCAGGAAGUUCAUGUUGUUGAUUCCCCGAAGGAAUACCUUCAAGCUGUCAAAUGGCAGGAGUCUGAAGUAAGGUAUACUAGGUUUCCAUGUGAUAUGCUGAAUGCUAUCAAUGUUAAAGGCACUAAUGAGCAUAGUGGUGGAAAUUGGGCGCAGGAAGCAAGUGAUGGUUCUGCUAAUUUUCAACAGGAAAUUGAUGGAUUUAGUGCAAAGUUUCCUUGGGAUGUUACGUCUACAAGCAGUGAUGAUCACGAUCGUCACAACUUCGUCACGAGGACUGAAGAGUUUGCAAUUGGUCAAGUCUGGGCUGCUCAUGACGAUGAAGGCAUGCCUAGAAACUAUGCACGGAUUGUUAAGAUUAAGGUUCAUGAAUCACCCUGUAGAAUGUAUAUCAGCUGGUUGAAACCUGUCCCAGAUACUGUGCAUGGGAAGAAAUGGUGUGAGGCAGGGUUGCCUUUGGUCUGUGGAUUAUUCGACGUGGAUAGGGGUCAGACCACUCUUGUUGAACCGACAUCAUUCUCACACAGGAUGUCUCCAGAUGAGUGGGCUGGUUUGGUGAAAGUAAAGGGACUGAAAAAUGUAUAUAGCACAGGUAAUGCUAGUGAGUCUCCUUUUCAAGUUCCAGGAAGAAACUUAUUUAUGUUUCCCAUAGAAUUCCAGCAUACACUUGUGCAGAUGAAGAGAUGGAUAAGCUCUCGAACAGGAUGUUUAAGCUCAACCCUUCGGCGACACCUGCCCAGUCCAUUGAAUCUCUGCCACUAUCGGACACAGAACUGCUGAACCAACAAAGAACAGCAAAAGAUUUUGCUUCAAACCAAGUAUGGGCUGUAUAUCAUGGUACAGAUUCAAUGCCUAGGCGGUAUGUUGUAUUGGAAAAUGUCGAUUCAGAGAGUGAAAUAUUGUUACAUACUUGGAGCCUUACCCCAUAUUGAUUGAUGAGAUCCACUGGAUCAAAGAGAACUUACCAUUUGGUUGUGGAUUGUUUGAAGCUGGCAAGACCAAGUUGAACUUGAAGUUAACUAGGUUCUCACAUAUGGUAAAGUGUGAAAAGAAUAAUUUCUUUUACAAAAUAUUUCCAAACAAAGCAAAGAUUUGCGCAAAGUACAGGAAUUGGAGUAGCAGGUGGAAGACUGCCGAUUUCAAUAACUAUCAAUGUCAAGUUGUUGAAAUUGUUUCAGAGUUCUGUCAGGAAUCUGGGUUAAUAGUAGCCAAUUUAGAAAAGGUGGCUGGCUGCGCUACUUUAGUUAGAAGGCAGUCUUAUAUGUUAUUCUCUAUUAUAAGUAAGAAAACUUUUAAUUUAUCUU